This 159-nucleotide small nuclear RNA is filed under the name Leersia perrieri. Its description in RNAcentral is "U1 spliceosomal RNA". It matches the Rfam family "U1 spliceosomal RNA". Rfam says of the family: U1 is a small nuclear RNA (snRNA) component of the spliceosome (involved in pre-mRNA splicing). Its 5' end forms complementary base pairs with the 5' splice junction, thus defining the 5' donor site of an intron. There are significant differences in sequence and secondary structure between metazoan and yeast U1 snRNAs, the latter being much longer (568 nucleotides as compared to 164 nucleotides in human). Lineage: Eukaryota; Viridiplantae; Streptophyta; Magnoliopsida; Poales; Poaceae. The record is from Rfam by way of RNAcentral.
AUACUUACCUGGACGGGGUCUAUGGGCGAUCAUGAAGGCUCAUGGCCUAGACCAGUGACCCACAUUGCACUUUGUGGGUGCAUCGGUUUACCAUCUCCCCAAACGGGAGAGUGGACGUCAUAAUUUAUGGGAGAGGGGUACGCGUUCGCGCGGCCCCUA